GAUGGUUAAAAUCCAUCCUUUAUUA
RNAcentral lists this transfer RNA (25 nucleotides) under Poeciliopsis balsas (Balsas livebearer). RNAcentral describes it as "partial tRNA-Met". The record is from RNAcentral. Lineage: Eukaryota; Metazoa; Chordata; Actinopteri; Cyprinodontiformes; Poeciliidae.